This 234-nucleotide unclassified non-coding RNA is filed under the name plant metagenome. RNAcentral's name for it is "partial contains small subunit ribosomal RNA, internal transcribed spacer 1, and 5.8S ribosomal RNA". The record is from RNAcentral.
UUUCCGUAGGUGAACCUGCGGAAGGAUCAUUAAUGUGUUUGGGCCUCACGGCCCUUCAUUCCGACGCUGUGCGCCUUCGGGCUGCACGCUGAGGGAGCAUAUAUCCACCCCUGUGCACACACACGGUGGCGAGCUGGGUAACGGCUCGCCGCUGAUCUUUACACACGUCUAAAAGUCAUUGUAUGUUUAUUUGAGAUAAAAACACAACUUUCAGCAACGGAUCUCUUGGCUCUC